This is an RNA transcript of Homo sapiens (human), 3480 nucleotides long. It is a transcript of the gene named B cell receptor associated protein 29, with no coding region annotated. NCBI's taxonomy places the organism in Eukaryota, Metazoa, Chordata, Mammalia, Primates, Hominidae. The record is from RefSeq and is marked validated. The transcript has 8 exons.
GUCCCGCGCGUCGGCGGCCGCGGAGCAGCGCAGGGAGCCAGGCGGGCUGCCGGCGGGUGUGAAGAAAAAAAUGACACUCCAAUGGGCUGCAGUGGCAACCUUUCUUUAUGCCGAAAUAGGACUCAUUUUAAUCUUCUGCCUACCUUUUAUUCCUCCUCAGAGAUGGCAGAAGAUUUUUUCAUUUAAUGUCUGGGGUAAAAUUGCAACUUUUUGGAACAAGGCUUUCCUUACCAUUAUCAUCCUAUUGAUUGUUCUAUUUCUAGAUGCUGUGAGAGAAGUAAGGAAAUAUUCCUCAGUUCAUACCAUUGAGAAGAGCUCCACCAGCAGACCUGAUGCCUAUGAACACACACAGAUGAAACUUUUUAGGUCUCAAAGAAAUCUUUACAUUUCUGGAUUUUCCCUAUUUUUUUGGCUGAGCUAAACCCCUGAGGGCAUGGACUUUGCUGUUUUCCGCUGUGUCUGCAGUGCCUGGCAGAGUGUCUUAACACUUAGCAGUUCCUGAGUAAAGGAAUGUCUGCUGAAUGAAUAAUUGAAGAUAGUCAUCACUAUUUCUUCUAACAAUGGCAGUUACACAUAAACGGAUGUGAAUGAGCUGUUCUUCGGCUUGUUUGACCUUACACAAUGUUCCUUAAAUAGCAGAAUUUGAACUGGGCCAAAAAAAAUAAUUCUCCUACUGGCCCUGUCACACUGUCUGAAAUUUUCCUGUUUCUAUUCCUCCAAGCUAAAGCCUUCUACAGGAAAACAAAUAAGUACCACUGAACCUGUAUUCUAAAUGCUGGUCUUCUAACAAAGAUUCCAAAGGAAUGAGACACGGGCCUGUUUUUACUAAGAGACUUGAAUUAAAAAAAGAAUAAUGGGUUCUGCCUAAACAUUAUCUGCCACCACCACACCUAUAUCUAAUGGGGAGUAAUUUGGCAAUGACUGUUUUAAAAUAAGUUUCUGGUGAUUGGCCAGUAAUACAUUAUUCUGGUUUUUUUUCUUAGAGUUUUGAGACGUCUGGUUACGCUUAUUACUCAACUGGCAAAAGAACUGUCAAACAAAGGUGUACUUAAAACUCAAGCAGAAAAUACUAACAAGGCUGCCAAAAAAUUUAUGGAAGAAAACGAAAAACUAAAAAGGAUUUUGAAAAGCCAUGGUAAAGAUGAAGAAUGUGUUUUGGAAGCAGAAAAUAAAAAACUAGUAGAAGACCAGGAGAAACUGAAAACUGAAUUAAGGAAGACUUCAGAUGCCCUUUCUAAGGCACAAAAUGAUGUGAUGGAAAUGAAGAUGCAGUCAGAGAGACUUUCGAAAGAAUAUGAUCAACUCCUGAAAGAACACUCUGAACUUCAGGAUCGUUUAGAAAGAGGCAACAAGAAAAGACUGUGAACUUUAUAAAAGACACUUGCAAUAUACUGUGUCAAAAUGAUAAUUUUGUUAUGUUAGCCUCUAGAAAAUUUAAGUUCAGAAAAAUGCACUAUGACCGGUUCGUAAUUUUUUUAAUGCCACACAUAGGUUGUAUUGUAAUGGCAUUAUCAAAAUAUUUGAUGAUGUUUCAGAUAUAUUGCAAAGUCUGUAUUCCAGCUCUUAAGAAAAAUAUAAGCAUGUUAAAUACCAUAUUUACAUAUUGAUAAUGUCAUUGGUAUAUGGUGGCUGUUUACCAAUAAAAGGAAAAAAUUCAUUAACCGGUUGCUUCCAAAAUUAGAAGUUUUAAGUUGCAUGAAACCAUUAAUAGCCUUGAAAGCUUUGAUAAGUUUUCAGUAAUAAUAACCUAUUUAAUCAGAUGAUGAUGUGUUUGAAAAUAGUGUUCAAUAUCAGCAAAUUUGUACACAGGGAAUGUAAAUAAGGAUAACUGAUCAGAGUUAUCCACUGUAUUUAUAAGGAAGAGUCGGAAAAAACAAUGACCUUAGUUUUUUUUAAGCCUGAUGAUACUAUGGUUUACUCUAAUAAGAUAGCUAUAUUGAUAAUUAUAUUUUUGUUACUGUGCCCUUGCACAUUUUGGUCUUUUUGUUAAUAUUUUUAUUAAUAACACAUAAUUAGUAACCACUCUACUGUUUCAAGUUAAUCUAGUAAUAGAGCUUACAUAUAUUUGUAUAACUGCUAUACCACUGAACUGAAUUUAUUUUACAACAGUGUAGAAUUCUUGAAAAGUUAACGUAGAAAAUAUCCAAAAAGCAGUAUUUCUAGAAAGUGUCCAAAAAGCAGUAUUUCUUUCCCUUGGUUGUGAGAGUAACUAAUUAUAUAAAUAUUACCUCAAAAAUACAUACACUGGUAUCACACAGUCUUUCUACAAUGUUUCUGUAUUCUGAAAGCUAAAUAUUAAGUACUAUUUUUCCAUUCAAAUAUUCAUUUAGAAUUUCCUUUAGAAGAUGGCAGUGAUUAUAAUAUUAAUAUGAUUUCAUUUGUUCCAGUGUUUAGACAUGAAAUCAUCUUCCUUGUCUCAUGAAAACCUAAAUAUAAAAAAAAGGAAAAUACUGGAGUUUUUAUUUCUCUUGUCUUUGUUACAUCCUCUGUUUAUUAUAAUUUUAGCACCAACUUCACACCUAGCUAAUUUUUUUCAUCAUAAAGUGGAUGAAAUGAGCAAGUACCUAAAAAUUUUAUUUCAGAUAAAAGUCAGGAGUUACUGCUAAAAAACAGACAUGUAGGAGACAUUCAACAGGAGUAUGAAAUGAGAGUUAGACCAUAUGGGCUGACAACACCAUAAAUAACAAGAAAAGGGAGUGCUGAAAUAGGAGAGAACAGAGCAAAUGUUAGCUCAAAGUAUAGACUUAGAAAUAUCAAAGUAAGAGCUAUCUGGAUAAAUAUAUAGAUAUUGAGUGCUUGGAAUCCUAGCCUACUAUGUGAAAAUUAAGUCUAAUGUCAGAAUAACUUACAGAAAAAUAGAAAAUGCACAGCUUUAAAAUGGGCAGAGUUAAAAUCUAUUCCCAGCUUUAUCACUUAUUUAGCCAUGCUAGCCUAGGCCUCUAUUUCCUUGUCUCCAAAAUGAGAAUAAUAAAAUUUAGGUCAGGAUUACUAUAUAAACUAAGAUAAUACAGUGAUUCUCAAAGUUGUUCAGACUGUAUAGUAAGGAGAAAGUCUGGUUGCACUUUGAAGAGCUUGAAGAUUUGAAAGAUUCCCAAAAAAGCAUUUUAAAGUUUACAUUUAAGGGACCUUGGACCUCAACCCUCUCAAGUUUACAAGUCUGAAACUUUAGACAUCAAAAGUUUGAGCAGUUUUUCCAAGGCAACAUUGAUAGUUAGAUUCAGGGCCAGGCUGUAAGUCUAGAAUUUAGAUAUCCUGAUCCCCCAGAUACCGCUCUUCUGGUUAUACACAGACCAGCUAUAAUUUGCUAAACAUAAAAUAUUGCAGUGUAUUAGCCGGCUGUGGCUCCAGAGUCUGUGCCCUUUACCACCGUGCCCAACUGUUUCACAUGCUGUGUUUGGUAGUUUUUCCUAGUACUCUCCUUAAUAAUGGUGGUGUUUAGCAAAUUGUAUUACAUAAAUAAAUAUUUAUUUCAUGGAUUGA